UGAUGCAGCGACGCCGCGUGAGGGAUGACGGCCUUCGGGUUGUAAACCUCUUUCGCUAGGAAAGAAGCCAUGUUGUGGUGACGGUACCUGGAUAAGAAGCACCGGCUAACUACGUGCCAGCAGCCGCGGUAAUACGUAGGGUGCGAGCGUUGUCCGGAAUUACUGGGCGUAAAGAGCUCGUAGGUGGUUUGUCGCGUCGUCUGUGAAAUCCCGGGGCUUAACUCCGGGCGUGCAGGCGAUACGGGCAUAACUGGAGUGCUGUAGGGGAGACUGGAAUUCCUGGUGUAGCGGUGAAAUGCGCAGAUAUCAGGAGGAACACCGAUGGCGAAGGCAGGUCUCUGGGCAGUAACUGACGCUGAGGAGCGAAAGCAUGGGUAGCGAACAGGAUUAGAUACCCUGGUAGUCCAUGCCGUAAACGGUGGGCGCUAGGUGUGGGGAUCUUUCUACGAUUUCCGUGCCGUAGCUAACGCAUUAAGCGCCCCGCCUGGGGGAGUACGGA
Molecule: ribosomal RNA, 499 nt
Filed under: uncultured Corynebacterium sp.
Lineage: Bacteria; Bacillati; Actinomycetota; Actinomycetes; Mycobacteriales; Corynebacteriaceae
Description: bacterial SSU rRNA
Rfam family: Bacterial small subunit ribosomal RNA
Source: RNAcentral